This is a long non-coding RNA of Daucus carota subsp. sativus, 1036 nucleotides long. RefSeq lists it as uncharacterized. The record is from RefSeq and is a predicted model, not a curated record. NCBI's taxonomy places the organism in Eukaryota, Viridiplantae, Streptophyta, Magnoliopsida, Apiales, Apiaceae. The transcript is spliced from 5 exons.
AGACAUCAGUUCUUGUUAAAAUUGAUGUCUUAUUUCCCGUUUCAAAAAAUGAAAAUAAUAAACCCGCUCAUUAUUCUCUCCUUACACAAAUACUCCCCACUUAAACAAAAUUUUAUUUCCCACCUUCACCCAAAUGUUAUUUUCCCCAUUUCUUUCUUUUCCUCUCGACUCUCUCUCGAUCAACUCUCUCUUGAUCGACUCUCUCGUGUCUCUCUCUCUUUCCAUCUCUGCUCUCCCUAUCUAGUCUCUCUCACACCAUCUAUUUCAUGCUCCGACAUUCAAAUUGUAGUUAGGGUUCGAUUGGGUAAACCCUAAUUUGUUCUAUUGAAGACACAGCUUGAAGAAGAGCAACUUGAAUUAAUUAGUAGAUAAAAACUCAGCUCGGAGAAACGCAACCUGCAGAUUAGUUCGAUUGGGUUUCAGGGUUUGAUGGGUUCAAUUUGAUUUUAGGGUUCUUCUUUUCUCAGUCUACAUCUUCUUCUUCAUGGAAACCUGAUACGAGAUUCCAUGGUCAUUGUAGUAUAUUUUUUUGGCCUUAUUCACCUUACUAUUUGGAUAUUGAUCAGCAUGUUUCUUUCUUGAAGCAUUUUGGACCCUGGAUAUUGCUAAUAUGAGCCCUGCUUAUGCUUUUGACUAGACAGAGUACCAGCCGUAAAAAAAUGUCCUCUUUGCUAUCCGAUGCCCUUGAGUCAACUACGGGGCCGAGUUCAGGAAUCCAGCCUCUCAGCCAAGUCAUUUAGUCAGGAAUAUACAGACAGGGGGAUGUUGGUCAGGGCACAUGUUCCCCUGCGGUUUACAAGCCUCCGCACCCCAGUGAGGCAAAUGUGUGUACAUUUGAAUAUAUAUUUGAGGGGGACACAAUGGAAGAAGUUUGUGAGAGAUCUUUUAUAAUCAAAUUGUAUAGAAAUUUUUGAUCGACAUGCUUUGAAUAUAUGUUCUAUGCAUGUUUUUGUUGGAGAUUUUUUAAAUCAAUGUAGUUUUGAUAUUGGAUGGUUUGGAUUAUGUAGUUGGUUUUUUUAUUUGAUGAAUUAGAUAA